CACUCCUGCGGGAGGCAGCAGUGGGGAAUAUUGCACAAUGGGCGCAAGCCUGAUGCAGCCAUGCCGCGUGUAUGAAGAAGGCCUUCGGGUUGUAAAGUACUUUCAGCGGGGAGGAAGGCGAUAAGGUUAAUAACCUUGUCGAUUGACGUUACCCGCAGAAGAAGCACCGGCUAACUCCGUGCCAGCAGCCGCGGUAAUACGGAGGGUGCAAGCGUUAAUCGGAAUUACUGGGCGUAAAGCGCACGCAGGCGGUCUGUCAAGUCGGAUGUGAAAUCCCCGGGCUCAACCUGGGAACUGCAUUCGAAACUGGCAGGCUAGAGUCUUGUAGAGGGGGGUAGAAUUCCAGGUGUAGCGGUGAAAUGCGUAGAGAUCUGGAGGAAUACCGGUGGCGAAGGCGGCCCCCUGGACAAAGACUGACGCUCAGGUGCGAAAGCGUGGGGAGCAAACAGGAUUAGAAACCCCUGUAGUCCCAUGA
RNAcentral lists this ribosomal RNA (475 nucleotides) under uncultured organism. RNAcentral describes it as "partial 16S ribosomal RNA". It matches the Rfam family "Bacterial small subunit ribosomal RNA", at positions 334 to 800 of the family's 1533-position model. The record is from RNAcentral.